Molecule: transfer RNA, 68 nt
Filed under: Marmota monax (woodchuck)
Lineage: Eukaryota; Metazoa; Chordata; Mammalia; Rodentia; Sciuridae
Description: tRNA.Ala
Source: RNAcentral
GUUAUGGUUCAGAGGUAGAGUACUCGCCUCGCAUGUAUGAGACCCUGGGUUCGAUCCUCAGCAUCACA